GACGAACGCUGGCGGCGUGCCUAAUACAUGCAAGUCGAACGCUUCUUUCCUCCCGAGUGCUUGCACUCAAUUGGAAAGAGGAGUGGCGGACGGGUGAGUAACACGUGGGUAACCUACCCAUCAGAGGGGGAUAACACUUGGAAACAGGUGCUAAUACCGCAUAACAGUUUAUGCCGCAUGGCAUAAGAGUGAAAGGCGCUUUCGGGUGUCGCUGAUGGAUGGACCCGCGGUGCAUUAGCUAGUUGGUGAGGUAACGGCUCACCAAGGCCACGAUGCAUAGCCGACCUGAGAGGGUGAUCGGCCACACUGGGACUGAGACACGGCCCAGACUCCUACGGGAGGCAGCAGUAGGGAAUCUUCGGCAAUGGACGAAAGUCUGACCGAGCAACGCCGCGUGAGUGAAGAAGGUUUUCGGAUCGUAAAACUCUGUUGUUAGAGAAGAACAAGGACGUUAGUAACUGAACGUCCCCUGACGGUAUUUAACCAGAAAGCCACGGCUAACUACGUG
This 508-nucleotide ribosomal RNA is filed under the name uncultured bacterium. Its description in RNAcentral is "partial 16S ribosomal RNA". It matches the Rfam family "Bacterial small subunit ribosomal RNA", at positions 28 to 507 of the family's 1533-position model. The record is from RNAcentral.